AGUUUGAUCCUGGCUCAGAAUGAACGCUGGCGGCAUGCCUAACACAUGCAAGUCGAACGAGAUCUUCGGAUCUAGUGGCGCACGGGUGAGUWACGCGUGGGAACCUACCUUUUAGUACGGGACAACGUUUGGAAACGGACGCUAAUACCGUAUACGCCCUCCGGGGGAAAGGUCAGCCGCUAAAAGAGGGGCCCGCGUCUGAUUAGCUUGUUGGUAAGGUAAUGGCUUACCAAGGCUACGAUCAGUAGCUGGUCUGAGAGGAUGAUCAGCCACACUGGGACUGAGACACGGCCCAGACUCCUACGGGAGGCAGCAGUGGGGAAUAUUGGACAAUGGAGGCAACUCUGAUCCAGCAAUGCCGCGUGUGUGAUGAAGGCCCUAGGGUUGUAAAGCACUUUCAACGGUGAAGAUGAUGACGGUAGCCGUAGAAGAAGCCCCGGCUAACUUCGUGCCAGCAGCCGCGGUAAUACGAAGGGGGCGAGCAUUAUUCGGAAUUAUUGGGCGUAAAGGGCUCGCAGGCUGCUUGAACAGUUAGACGUGAAAUCCCCGGGCUCAACCUGGGAACUGCGUUUAAUACUAGCAAGCUAGAGAAAUAGAGAGGAAAGUGGAACUCCCAGUGUAGAGGUGAAAUUCGUAGAUAUUGGGAAGAACACCAGUGGCGAAAGCGACUUUCUGGCUAUUUUCUGACGCUGAGGAGCGAAAGCGGGGGGAGCAAACAGGAUUAGGUACCCUGGUAGUCCACGCCGUAAACGAUGUGUGCUAGAUGUUGGAGGGAUACCUUUCAGUGUCGCAGCUAACGCACUAAGCACACCGCCUGGGAAGUACGGUCGCAAGAUUAAAACUCAAAGGAAAUUGACGGGGGCCCGCACAAGCGGUGGAGCAUGUGGUUUAAUUCGACGCAACGCGCAGAACCUUACCAGCCCUUGACAUGUGGAGUUUGGUUAUCAGAGAUGAUUUCCUUCAGUUCGGCUGGCUCCAACACAGGUGCUGCAUGGCUGUCGUCAGC
Molecule: ribosomal RNA, 1006 nt
Filed under: uncultured Alphaproteobacteria bacterium
Lineage: Bacteria; Pseudomonadati; Pseudomonadota; Alphaproteobacteria
Description: bacterial SSU rRNA
Rfam family: Bacterial small subunit ribosomal RNA
Source: RNAcentral